Molecule: long non-coding RNA, 1380 nt
Filed under: Mytilus galloprovincialis (Mediterranean mussel)
Lineage: Eukaryota; Metazoa; Mollusca; Bivalvia; Mytilida; Mytilidae
Source: RNAcentral
CAAAGUUAUACAUGUUAUAUGGUAAUAUAGCAUAUAAUGAUUCAUCAUAUAGACAGCAUUCAAAUACGUAAAUAUGAUUUAUAUUCAUGUAACACACAUAUACACACAUGUCACUUUUUGUUCAUGGAACAAAAAUAUACACUUAAUUUUGUUGUGUAAGACUCAUGGUUUUGAUUUAGGUUAAAUACGUUUAACUAUUCGACAGCAAUGUGUGUAUGUUUUAAGUGUAAUCACAGAAUGUGCAGGUCUAGAUUGGCACAGACAAAAUAUCUAUUAUUAACCAUUAUUAAUUAUCUACACUUUUAUUGGACUUAAUAUGAUGAAAACUGCCUAUGCAAUAUAAGGUGUCAACUCGGCCAAUACAGAAUAGCUCGGCUAAUAUAUAUAUUUUCUGUAUUGGCCGAGUUCUGAUCCGGCCGAUACAGAAUUUCAGAACGUCUCUGGUGUUUUUGAUUGAAAGUCACGAUAAACACACACUGAAAGUAAACAGUUGUUUGGAAGACGCAGUUCUCAUUAACUCACCGUAAACGCUCAGUAUAGCAUAUAUUUCAGGCUAAAGACGGUCAUAGUCAUUCAAAAAGCAUUUUGAAAGCAGACAAUGGAAUUAUUUCAGGUUUGGGGAACGAGUUCUCAGUAGAUUAUCACUAAGUUUAUUUCUUGGCGACCUCAUAAUUUCACGAUGGUACAAAUCGAUUUACUGUUAAAUUUUGCUUUUCAUGUUUUGUGAACUGUCAUUUAUUUUUAAACUAGAACCAGGCAUAUGCAUUCUGUAAUUGUGCAAAUGUUCGUUCUUUUGUCAUUAUGACUUUUUUGGCUUAUGUAUAGUUGUAUCAUCACUCCUUCAUAAUUAUUUUGUAAACACAAUGUAUCUUCAGUUUGUUUCUGCACAACACAUGCACUGAUACUACCUUUCCAAUUACUAAGUAUGGGUUGCGUCUUAAUUUAAGUUGUUACACUUUAUAGUGACUGGGAAGUGUGACAAAUUCAACAGAUGAUAAAAUGCUAAAGACACCUGGAAACGGUACCGGAUCAUUAGAUAUUACAUUUUAUUAAAAGAUAUAAGAUUUGGCUAGUUCUACUCCACGGUAAACAUGUUUAUCUCUUGUAAAAUUAAACAAAAUAUUGCAACACUGUAGUUAAUUAAUAAAGAUACUAUUACGUGUAUUUCUGUAGUGGCCUUGUUAUUGGUCCUCGGCAAGCUGUAUUGGCCUUCGACUUCGCCUCGGACCAAUAACAAGGCCAAUACAGAUAUACUUCCGUACUAAUAUCAUAAUAUUGUUGGUUCAGUCAAACAUGUAAACAUUCAAUAUCAUUAUAUAUUUGGAUACUAAUUCUAAUACUGUUUGAUAUAUAUUUAUCAUCCUGAAAUAAAACAUAUGG